This 60-nucleotide microRNA precursor is filed under the name Strongyloides ratti. RNAcentral describes it as "microRNA str-mir-37b precursor". Its record names the gene str-mir-37b. Lineage: Eukaryota; Metazoa; Nematoda; Chromadorea; Rhabditida; Strongyloididae. The record is from miRBase by way of RNAcentral.
AAGUAAUUGUUUCCAUGUUGAUUUAUUGUUAAAUAACUCACCGGGAAUACAAUUACCAAU